CACGCGCACUCGCAUGGGCGUGGGCACAGGAAGGGAGACCGCCUCUCUUGGCCUUUCUCUGCGACAAGCGUCCCUCUGUCUCUCUCCCUCGCACGACCCCUGGUCAUGGUGUCGGUGUGCUGCGUUACCUGUGUCACUUCGGAUGGCGACAGCGGGACUACGGUGCCUCGACUGGUGCCCGCGUCACCACCACCGCCGCCGCUUGCCGCGCUUGCCUUCAGCCAUGACGGUACGCGGGCGGCCUACGCGGUGCGUCGCGGGAAGGCUCUUCCACGAUAUGGCGAACGUGAGGAUGCGUGCUCUAUCUUCAUCGCCAGCACAAACACUCCGGCGCAUUGCGCGUCCAGCACUUCGAGCAGCCCCGGCGCCGCUGUCGCUCCCUUCGCGCAGUGGACGAUGCUGCAGGUGCUUACCGGCAGUCACGACGCGCCCAUCACCGCGUUGGCAUGGUGCCAGCGCACAGGCGCCCUCCUCUCUACCAGUGCAGACCGCGGCGCCUGUGUCUGGGUGCCGCGUGCGGGUGCUGCUGCUGCAAAGGAAGCGAACAGUGCUGCUGCUGUCGAGGGUGGAAGCGUGAACCUUCCUGUGGCUGUCGCAGCAGAUGUGCCGUUUUGUGCGGUGCCGCAGCUGGUCAUACUGAGCACCGAGGUGCGCCUGUGUCCGACCUGUGUGGCGUGGAGCGCGGAAGGGACGAAACUGUACAUCGGCACCUCUGGCGGCACCGUCGCCGUUGGCCGCUACGACGCGCAGCAUAAGUGGUGGAUCUGCCGCCUUCUCAGCGAUCAUCGCCGCACUACGUUUUUUGACCCAUCAGUUGAGACCGCGGCACCAUCGUCGGCGCGCGCGUGCUCGGUCACGGCACUGGCGGCACAUCCUGUCGAGAACACGAGACUUGCUGUAGCGCGCCUUGAUGGCACGGUGCAAGUCCUCUCUACACACAUCAAGAGCGUGGAUGGAGCGCUGGGCAGCUCUGGACAAGGUACAAGUGGCAGCAACGCGGGUGCAACUGCGAAGCCUUUCCAUCACGUGUACCUAUCGCACCUCCUACCUUGCUGGGUGCACGGAGUGGCCUGGAGCCCGUCGGGGCAGCAGCUGGCAGUGGUGGGUCAUGACAGCGGUCUCCAUACGUGGGACUGGGGUCCUGUGCGAUCCUCGUCAGCGGGAGGGGAGCGCAGCAGCAAUGACGACUGCUCCGGUGCUGGCUCUGGCAAGUGUGAAGCAGUGCACACAGUGACGUGGCUUCGUCAGCUGCCGCUGCUCCGAUGCGAGUUCGCUUCGGAAGACGUACUCGUGGCAGUCGGAUUCGAGGGACGUCUGCACGCCUUCGAGUCGACUGCAGCGUCAGCGCAGCCGGGAUUACAGAGGCAGCGAACGUGGAAGCUGAUGCCGGAGCACGCGGCGACGCAACGGACGGAGGGCUCGGCGCAGCUGCUGCGCCGUGAAACAGCGCAUGUGGCUGCCAACGACAGAGAGAAGACGGCGGCCGCUUGCGGCCGGCACAAUCUGCCUUCGCAGAGAGGUACUGCUGCUGCCAAGCACGUCGUCACUCUUGAGGGUCAGCAGCCGCCAGCGCGAAUUGUGGGCGAGUCGCAGGCCGCUGUCGAUGGGGUUCUAGUAGCCAAGUCGGUGCGUCAAGUGGCAUUGGACUUCUUCGAGCGCGGCCGUGCGGCGGCAGCUGCCGAUGCUGUUGUGGCGACAUCCACCCGCGGGCGGUCCUCGGUACCAGGUGCACAUAGCUCGACAGAGAACAACGCAGCGGAUCACGCGACGGGUGCGGCACGGCAACAGGUCACCGAGAGUCCUCCACACACAUCGCUCAUUAGCCUGCUGGUGCGCAUUCCAUCGGGCGAAAAAUCUACCGCCGCUGAGCCGAUGGACGUCACCUUCGUGUCAGCCGGGCACGACAGUCGCGUGCACCUCUGGCGAGUGCGCCACACGACCCUAGCUCGCAGUAAGGGCGUGCCCGUGUCCCCUGAUGGGUGAAGACGACUGUGGAGGCGCCCUUCUGAAUGGGGUCGGGAGACUGGUGGGCGUUACCCCCCCCCCAACGCGCAUCCCGCACUGGCAUAUUCACUUGUUCUUCGCUUCUCUGUCCUCGAC
This 2100-nucleotide unclassified non-coding RNA is filed under the name Leishmania donovani. RNAcentral describes it as "gene:LdHU3.18.1170(CDS-product:actin-related_prot ein_2/3_complex_subunit_1_putative)". The record is from RNAcentral. Lineage: Eukaryota; Euglenozoa; Kinetoplastea; Trypanosomatida; Trypanosomatidae.